Phyllostomus hastatus (greater spear-nosed bat) is the source of this 912-nucleotide long non-coding RNA. RefSeq lists it as uncharacterized. The record is from RefSeq and is a predicted model, not a curated record. The transcript has 4 exons. NCBI's taxonomy places the organism in Eukaryota, Metazoa, Chordata, Mammalia, Chiroptera, Phyllostomidae.
AGCUCGGCUCUCUUGGCCUGUCCCGACAGCGUCUGCGCCUAGGCCGGAUGGUGCGGAGCUGGGACUGGCCAGCCGUGGCCACAGGGAUUGGGGACCGCAAGGAGUCGGGGCUGAGGCCCUGGAUGUGCCGGAUGAAGAGCUCCCGAUGCUCACACUGCAGGGGAACCGGUGGGAGAGGCUGACGCAGGCGUCCCCCGCCACCACCACGGCCGGAGCUGGAUGCUGCCCUCCCCUCCUCCGCUCACCUGCACUGACGCCCCCAGCAGCAGCCGAAGGAUGCCUUCCAGCUCCUCCACUGCCUCCUCUGCAGGGCCCAAGCCACAGGGGUUAACAGGCCGGCCCGUGCGCCCCCAGAGUCCUGCCUCUGCCCCCACUUCGCCACGCCGCAUCGACCCAGCAUCUCUGGCGGGCACUGAGACGAAGAGGGGAAGGUGGGACUCCCCUGGGAGGAAGGCCUGCAACUCUUGAGGCCUGAGGGACAAUGUCAGAGAGAAGGGAAAGAAGGGAGAAAGAGAAGGAAAGAAACAUCGACGUGUGAGAGAUACACUGAUCAUUUGCCUCUCGCACGCCCCCAGCCAAGGAGGACCUGGCCUGCAACUCAGGCAUGUGCCCCGACCGGGAAUCGAACUGCCAACCUCUCAGUCCGCAGGCCAGCGCACAGUCCGCUGAACCACACCAGCCGGGGCUCCAGCACUCUUGACGACUCACGGGAGGACAUGGCUGUGAAACACACAGACAUCACGCCUCGGUCAGACUUUAAACGUGAAGGAGUUUUCUGAAGACCGUCAACAACGUAUUUUGCUUCCGUUUUAUGUGAGGGUCAGAAUUACAGAGGGGUAUGAUGAGAAUGCACGUGUAAAUCAAAGAGCGCUCCCCCGGGGGGUGUAAAAUAAAGCUUCCAGUGGUCGCAGA